Molecule: long non-coding RNA, 2847 nt
Filed under: Homo sapiens (human)
Lineage: Eukaryota; Metazoa; Chordata; Mammalia; Primates; Hominidae
Description: non-protein coding lnc-FRMD3-5:1
Source: RNAcentral
GAUAACAUGUAAAUGUUUUUAAAAUGGUAAAAAAAAAGAAAAGAAAAGAAAUCACAUGCUCAGAUCAAAGCUGUAGAGGAAACUGACAUAAUUAGAUUCAUGUGGUAGCUGAAUUAGGUUACCCACAAAGUCAGCAUUUAAAUAUUUGAUACUAAAGUUCUAGUAAGAAGGGAUUCUCAUCCUAGCUUUGCUGUUAACUGGCCUUGUGACCUUGGACAUGUCACAAGCCCAUGUCGGAUCUGUUUCUUCAUCUGUAAAAUGUGCAGCUUGCCCUCAAAGGCCUUGCAGCCCUUGGCACCUCAGAUUCUGUGGGAAGCAGUAGGACAGAGAGUGUGGUGGCCCACAGUUAAUAAUAGAACUAUGGUUAUUCCUGCUUUUUAAUAUUGGAGUAUUGAUUUUUCUCACUUCUGAAAUAAGGACAGAAUUUGAUUAAAAAAUGGAAACAGAAAUAUCUAUUUUUUAUGUAUAAAGAAACAUGUUUGAGACAAAAAUAGUUGUAUAUAAAAGGAUAUUUCAUAAUCUCAGAAUAGUUACAAAGCUCACUGCUUGAAUUUGGUGUUAAAAAUUCUAAUGGAAACAUGUAAAGCCACAUACUACUGAAAGCACAAUGCCCAGGAAAGUUGUCACUCUUCACUUAAGGGAGUGGUUGCCAGGGGCUGAGAAAGGGAGGAUGGGGAGUGACUGCUAAUAGGUAUGUGGUUUCUUUGGGCGAUGAUGAGAAUGUUCUGGAAUUGGAAUAGUGGUGAUAGUUGUAUAACUGUUUGAAUGUACUAGGAACCACUGAAUUGUAUACUUUGAAAGGGUGAAUUUUAUGGUUGUGAAUUAUCUCACUAAAAAAAAUGCUAGUACUUAGAGUGAUGUAACAUUUUGCAAAAUUUUCAUUUUCGUAUCCCUGCUGAUUUCAAACCUUCCCAUGGUUUAGAAGCAUAACCUGUAAUGUAAUGCAAGUCCCCUAACUCCCUGGUUGCUAACAUUAACUUCCUUAAGUAAUAAUCAAUGAAAGAAAUUCUAUGCAUGGUUUUGAAAUAAUAUCCUUGAAAGAGGAAUCACCAUUAGGAAAGGUGAGUCAGGGUCCUUUGUUUAAUGUGACUAGUGGCUCAUCAUCACCAGUGACCUGGUUGGGCCUACUCUCCUUCCAGAACCUGCAUUGCUUCCCAGACCUCCCCACUGAGAUGCCUCUAAGAGCCAAAGGAGUCAACACUUGAGCCUAGGGUGGGCUACAACAAAAGAUUCUAAUUUACCUUGCUUCAUCUAGGUCCAGGCCCCAAGUAGCUUGCUGAAGGAACUUAAAAAGUAGCUGUUAUUUAUUGUAUUGUAUAAGCUAAAAACAUUUAUUUUUGUUGAAUCGAAACAAUUCCAUGUAGCAAUCUUUUUUCUGUUCACGGUGUUUGUGAUAGAACCUUAAAUUCCGCAAGCAUCAGUUUUUUGAAAAAAUGGGAAUUGACCGGAUAGUUACAGGCAAAGAUUAUAAAUAGCUACAACAUCAUUUAACUUUUAUAAACAUGCCUUCUCUCUAUUGAAGACAUCUGAUAUUUUUGCUGGAAAGUUGGAUCUAUCCUCAGUAACUCUGCCAUGAAUUCCUGUUUCCUGGUUCCAGAAAAAGAAAAGAUUACAUUUCUGAUCAUAAAGAAUGUCUUGCAUAUGGGAAAUUUUUCAAAAUAAGGGGGGUAUUAUUUAUGUGGCAUGGGAAAACUUUUGCCAUGGCUGUUUGUCUUAGUGGCAUCUUUUGAUGACAUUGGAUCAGAUAUAUGUAGAUGCUGAUAUAUGGGACACAUGUUUAGGUUUUGGUGCAGUUGCACAAAACUGUGUUAGUUUAUAUGUUACUGUGUUGCCUUUAUUUAUUCUCUCCAAAGUGUCUCUUUAUAUUUGUUUUACAAUCUGUGAAAGAGUAUACCAUAAUACAGAAGUAUUUUCAUAGUCUUUACCUCUGGAUUGUCCUGUCAGUAUAGCCACGUUGAUGAGAUUACACCAGUGCCUUUGAUGGUCAACCAAUCAUCUUUAAGUAUUUGAGCCCUGAUAAAUAUUUUGGUAACAUAAUCCAAAUUAGAGACUUAGAGCUCUGGUUAGCAAUCAUGUUUAAAGAGAAGCUUCUUAAAGCUCUGUAUGCUGGGAGAUUCAUGAUUAUUACCAACGUUUUGAUUUCAUGAAGGUGUUCUCAAAUUUAAAGCACAUUUUCAGUAAGAACAAAAAUAUUUAAUGUUUUUAUCUUAGACUUGAUACAUUUGCAUAUUACUAUGGAAGUUAUUCACCUUGUCCCUGUUUUUCUUUAAGAUAUUUUAAAAUCAUAGUUAUACUACAGUCCUUUUUUAAAUGUAUCCUGAUACAUUGUAAAAUAUUUUAAUUUCAUUGUGGAAAAUAAUGUUGGAUAAGGAGAUAUUUUUCACUGUUAACUUUUAGCCCAUGCAUUUUCAUAAUUUAUUUUUUUCACUUGCUGCUUUAUAUGACAUAUGUGACAUUUGAUUAUUUAACACUUGAUGUGAUCUGCAUAAACCCAAGUUGCACAACCCUCCUGCUGAAGAUAAAAUUGAGGUUAAAGAUAAAGAUUUAUUUUCAUAUUUGUACAGUGAUCGGCUUCAGUGAUGGUUUUUGUGGGCAUUUAUUGUGUGUGUGUAAGAAAUUUCAUAUGUAUAUAUUAAGUAGGCCUCUGAGUAUUGAAUAAUUGUUUUAUGAUUUUGAUUUAUAUGGUUUACAUUUUCAUUGUGUGGGCCAUAUUUCGUUUAUACUGUUUAUUUCUCUUCAAACCUUAAUAAUUAUACCAUAAAGUGUAAUUUUUAUAGCAAUGCAAAUGUCUAAGGAACUACAAAUAUUUUCUACGUUGUAAAUUCAAUAAAGCUUGCUUCCUUUGGC